Podarcis lilfordi (Lilford's wall lizard) is the source of this 75-nucleotide non-coding RNA. The record is from the annotation of a GenBank genome assembly. NCBI's taxonomy places the organism in Eukaryota, Metazoa, Chordata, Lepidosauria, Squamata, Lacertidae.
GGAAGGGCCCUGGCUCAGUGGCAGAGCAUCAGCUUUGCAUGCAGAAGGUCCCAGGUUUAAUUCCUGGCACCUCCA